GGGGGAUAUUGCAUAAUGGAGGAAACUCUGAUGCAGCAACGCCGCGUGAGGGAAGACGGUUUUCGCAUUGUAAACCUCUGUCCUUGGUGACGAAACAAAUGACGGUAGCCAAGGAGGAAGCUCCGGCUAACUACGUGCCAGCAGCCGCGGUAAUACGUAGGGAGCAAGCGUUGUCCGGAUUUACUGGGUGUAAAGGGUGCGUAGGCGGCUCUGCAAGUCAGGCGUGAAAUAUAUGGGCUUAACCCAUAGACUGCGUUUGAAACUGUGGAGCUUGAGUGAAGUAGAGGUAGGCGGAAUUCCCGGUGUAGCGGUGAAAUGCGUAGAGAUCGGGAGGAACACCAGUGGCGAAGGCGUCUUUCUGGACUGUGUCUGACACUGAGGCGCGAAAGCCAGGGGAGCGAACG
Molecule: ribosomal RNA, 404 nt
Filed under: uncultured Clostridium sp.
Lineage: Bacteria; Bacillati; Bacillota; Clostridia; Eubacteriales; Clostridiaceae
Description: bacterial SSU rRNA
Rfam family: Bacterial small subunit ribosomal RNA
Source: RNAcentral